AGGGCAAGUCUGGUGCCAGCAGCCGCGGUAAUUCCAGCUCCAAUAGCGUAUAUUAAAGUUGUUGCAGUUAAAAAGCUCGUAGUUGAAUUUCGGGGUUAGUAGGUUGGUCGUGCCUCAGGUAUGUACUGAUCUCACUGAUUCCUCCUUCCUGAUGAACCGUAAUGCCAUUAAUUUGGUGUUGCGGGGAAACUGGACUGUUACUUUGAAAAAAUUAGAGUGUUUAAAGCAGGCUAACGCUUGAAUACAUUAGCAUGGAAUAAUGAAAUAGGACGUUCGAUCCUAUUUUGUUGGUUUCUAGGAUUGACGUAAUGAUUAAUAGGGAUAGUUGGGGGCAUUAGUAUUCAAUUGUCAGAGGUGAAAUUCUUGGAUUUAUUGAAGACUAACUACUGCGAAAGCAUUUGCCAAGGAUGUUUUCAUUAAUCAAGAACGAAAGUUAGGGGAUCGAAGACGAUCAGAUACCGUCGUAGUCUUAACCAUAAACUAUGCCGACUAGGGAUCGGAUGACGUUAAUUUUUUAAUGACUCAUUCGGCGCCUUACGGGAA
RNAcentral lists this ribosomal RNA (543 nucleotides) under uncultured Glomeromycotina. RNAcentral describes it as "SSU rRNA". It matches the Rfam family "Eukaryotic small subunit ribosomal RNA", at positions 552 to 1096 of the family's 1831-position model. The record is from RNAcentral. Lineage: Eukaryota; Fungi; Glomeromycota.